UCAGAUCUGAUUUUGGAACGGAGUCCAAACGGAAUAAAAUCCCCGAAAUGAUUUUUUCCCGAACGCAAGAAGACUAGGGAGCCUUUGGGCCAGGCCAGGUGGGUCCCAGGGAGCCCACAAGCUUGCACCACACCACCAGGGGGAGGCGGUGGUGGGCAAGCUUGUGGCUUUCCUGGCCACCUCCUGACCUAGGUUUUGCGCCUAUAUAUUCCCAAGUAUUCCGCAAAAAAUCAGGGGAGCCUCGAAAAUACUUUUCCGCCGCC
This 263-nucleotide long non-coding RNA is filed under the name Hordeum vulgare. RNAcentral's name for it is "long non-coding RNA (HVUL_LNC011964)". Lineage: Eukaryota; Viridiplantae; Streptophyta; Magnoliopsida; Poales; Poaceae. The record is from RNAcentral.